Molecule: ribosomal RNA, 439 nt
Filed under: uncultured bacterium
Lineage: Bacteria
Description: partial 16S ribosomal RNA
Rfam family: Bacterial small subunit ribosomal RNA
Source: RNAcentral
CUACGGGUCGCUCCAGUGAGGAAUAUUGCACAAUGGGGGGAACCCUGAUGCAGCAACGCCGCGUGGAGGAUGACGCAUUUCGGUGUGUAAACUCCUUUUAUAUGUCAAGAAAAUGACGGUAGCAUAUGAAUAAGCACCGGCUAACUCCGUGCCAGCAGCCGCGGUAAUACGGAGGGUGCAAGCGUUACUCGGAAUCACUGGGCGUAAAGGACGCGUAGGCGGGUUGGAAAGUCAGGUGUGAAAUCCUACAGCUUAACUGUAGAACUGCACUUGAAACUUCUAAUCUAGAGUAUGGGAGGGGGAGAUGGAAUUAGUGGUGUAGGGGUAAAAUCCGUAGAUAUCACUAGGAAUACCUAAAGCGAAGGCGAUCUCCUGGAACAUUACUGACGCUAAGGCGUGAAGGCGUGGGAAGCAAACAGGAUUAGAUACCCCGGUAGUC